AGAGUUUGAUCAUGGCUCAGAAUGAACGCUGGCGGCGUGGUUAAGACAUGCAAGUCGAACGAGAUUUUUUAGACAGAAACUUCUGUGGAAAUUUACAGGUGAGAGUGGCGUACGGGUGCGUAACACGUAAGCGGGCUGCCCUGGGAAUCGGAAUAUCUCGAGGAAACUCGAAUUCAUGCCGGAUGUGGUCCC
Molecule: ribosomal RNA, 192 nt
Filed under: uncultured gamma proteobacterium DCM-FREE-12
Lineage: Bacteria; Pseudomonadati; Pseudomonadota; Gammaproteobacteria
Description: partial 16S ribosomal RNA
Rfam family: Bacterial small subunit ribosomal RNA
Source: RNAcentral